GCGCCAGUAGCUCAGCUGGAUAGAGUGUUUGGCUACGAACCAAAAGGUCAGGGGUUCGAAUCCCUUCUGGCGCGCCA
RNAcentral lists this transfer RNA (77 nucleotides) under Clostridium sp. CAG:557. RNAcentral's name for it is "transfer RNA-Arg(ACG)". It matches the Rfam family "tRNA". Rfam says of the family: Transfer RNA (tRNA) molecules are approximately 80 nucleotides in length. Their secondary structure includes four short double-helical elements and three loops (D, anti-codon, and T loops). Further hydrogen bonds mediate the characteristic L-shaped molecular structure. tRNAs have two regions of fundamental functional importance: the anti-codon, which is responsible for specific mRNA codon recognition, and the 3' end, to which the tRNAs corresponding amino acid is attached (by aminoacyl-tRNA synthetases). tRNAs cope with the degeneracy of the genetic code in two manners: having more than one tRNA (with a specific anti-codon) for a particular amino acid; and 'wobble' base-pairing, i.e. permitting non-standard base-pairing at the 3rd anti-codon position. The record is from RNAcentral. RNAcentral also lists the same sequence under 2 other names. Lineage: Bacteria; Bacillati; Bacillota; Clostridia; Eubacteriales; Clostridiaceae.